Molecule: non-coding RNA, 372 nt
Organism: Pelobates cultripes (western spadefoot toad)
Lineage: Eukaryota; Metazoa; Chordata; Amphibia; Anura; Pelobatidae
Source: the annotation of a GenBank genome assembly
AUUGCCAUGGAGACAGGACACUAUAGUGUUGGGAAAACAGCUUUGUAUUCCUAACACUUUUGUGUUCCUUUUUUAAUAGCUUUUUUAAAAAAUCAUCUAUGUCAUUCCUGUCACAGAACAACUGUUGAUCAAUCAGUUUUUGUCUUCUUAUCUAUAGAGAUCCCAAUGGACCGAGUCUCGUAAAAUGGCCAAGAUAUCAAGAAAAUGAAGCCUACAUGCAACUUGACUUGGAACAGAAACUCUUAGAAAAGUAUAAAGCAGACAGGUUUGUUUUCUGGACCAAGACUCUUCCAGAGACUAUUCUAAAAAUGUCAGAGGAACAAAGUGAAGAACGUGAAGAACUGUAGAUUUUGAUACAAUACAGCUGUCACC